This 380-nucleotide ribosomal RNA is filed under the name uncultured eukaryote. RNAcentral's name for it is "partial 18S ribosomal RNA". It matches the Rfam family "Eukaryotic small subunit ribosomal RNA", at positions 592 to 976 of the family's 1831-position model. The record is from RNAcentral.
CAAUAGCGUAUAUUAAAGUUGUUGCAGUUAGAACGCUCGUAGUCGGAUUUCGGGGCGGGCCGACCGGUCUGCCGAUGGGUAUGCACUGGUCGGCGCGUCCUUCCUUCCGGAGACCGUCCCUACUCUUAACUGAGCGGGGGCGGGAGACGGGACUUUUACUUUGAAAAAAUCAGAGUGUUUCAAGCAGGCAGCUCGCUCUUGCAUGGAUUAGCCUGGGAUAAUGAAAUAGGACUUUGGUGCUAUUUUGUUGGUUUCGAACACCGAAGUAAUGAUGAGAAGGGACAGUCAGGGGCACUCGUAUUCCGCCGAGAGAGGUGAAAUUCUCAGACCAGCGGAAGACGAACCACUGCGAAAGCAUUUGCCAGGGAUGUUUUCACUGA